GAAAUGCGAUAAGUAGUGUGAAUUGCAGAAUUCAGUGAAUCAUCGAAUCUUUGAACGCACAUUGCGCCCCUUGGUAUUCCAUGGGGCAUGCCUGUUCGAGCGUCAUUUGUACCCUCAAGCUCUGCUUGGUGUUGGGUGUUUGUCCUCCUCUACUUUGCAGUUGGACUCGCCUUAAAGUAAUUGGCAGCCAGUGUAUUGGUUUUAAGCGCAGCACAUUUUGCGUCUUGCUCCCACUAACACUAGCAUCCAUGAAGCCAUUUUCUCACUUUUGACCUCGGAUCAGGUAGGGAUACCCGCUGAACUUAAGC
Molecule: unclassified non-coding RNA, 308 nt
Filed under: plant metagenome
Description: partial contains 5.8S ribosomal RNA, internal transcribed spacer 2, and large subunit ribosomal RNA
Rfam family: 5.8S ribosomal RNA (bases 1-105)
Source: RNAcentral